RNAcentral lists this ribosomal RNA (499 nucleotides) under uncultured bacterium. RNAcentral describes it as "partial 16S ribosomal RNA". It matches the Rfam family "Bacterial small subunit ribosomal RNA", at positions 28 to 507 of the family's 1533-position model. The record is from RNAcentral.
GACGAACGCUGGCGGCGUGCCUAAUACAUGCAAGUCGAGCGAAGUUUUUCUGGUGCUUGCACUAGAAAAACUUAGCGGCGAACGGGUGAGUAACACGUAAAGAACCUGCCUCAUAGACUGGGACAACUAUUGGAAACGAUAGCUAAUACCGGAUAACAGUAUUUCUCGCAUGAGAGAUAUUUAAAAGUUGGUUAUGGUAACACUAUGAGAUGGCUUUGCGGUGCAUUAGCUAGUUGGUGGGGUAAAGGCCCACCAAGGCGACGAUGCAUAGCCGAGCUGAGAGGGUGAUCGGCCACACUGGGACUGAGACACGGCCCAGACUCCUACGGGAGGCAGCAGUAGGGAAUCUUCCGCAAUGGGCGAAAGCCUGACGGAGCAACGCCGCGUGAGUGAAGAAGGAUUUCGGUUCGCAAAGCUCUGUUGUUAGGGAAGAAUGGAUAUGUAGUAACUAUACAUGUAAGAGACGGUACCUAACCAGAAAGCCACGGCUAACUACGUG